GACGAACGCUGGCGGCGUGCUUAGCACAUGCAAGUCGAACGAUGAACCCGGAGCUUGCUCCGGUGGAUUAGUGGCGAACGGGUGAGUAACACGUGAGUAACCCGCCCUUGACUCUGGGAUAACUGCGGGAAACUGUAGCUAAUACCGGAUACGACCCUCGGCGGCAUCGCCAGGGGGUGGAAAGAAUUUCGGUCAAGGAUGGACUCGCGGCCUAUCAGCUAGGUGGUGAGGUAACGGCUCACCAAGGCGACGACGGGUAGCCGGCCUGAGAGGGUGACCGGCCACACUGGGACUGAGACACGGCCCAGACUCCUACGGGAGGCAGCAGUGGGGAAUAUUGCACAAUGGGCGCAAGCCUGAUGCAGCAACGCCGCGUGAGGGAUGACGGCCUUCGGGUUGUAAACCUCUUUUAGUAGGGAAGAAGCGAAAGUGACGGUACCUGCAGAAAAAGCACCGGCUAACUACGUGCCAGCCGCCGCAGUAA
RNAcentral lists this ribosomal RNA (484 nucleotides) under uncultured bacterium. RNAcentral describes it as "partial 16S ribosomal RNA". It matches the Rfam family "Bacterial small subunit ribosomal RNA", at positions 28 to 523 of the family's 1533-position model. The record is from RNAcentral.